GCCAGCAGCCAUAUCACUCUGCAACUCACACCUUGCAACCCACUGAAGCUCAGCAGGUGUGAGCCUGGUCAGUACCUGGAUGGGAGCCCUCCUGGGAAAAACUAAGGUUGCUGCUGGAA
RNAcentral lists this ribosomal RNA (119 nucleotides) under Lepisosteus oculatus (spotted gar). The record is from RNAcentral. Lineage: Eukaryota; Metazoa; Chordata; Actinopteri; Semionotiformes; Lepisosteidae.